AAAGAAAUUACCAUUAAAAGGUUCUAAGAUCUCAUAAUAAUGCCGAUGCGAGUUCGAGAUUUAUCUCUUCUCUAUUCAUGUUUUAAUGAUGAUUCUUGUGCAUGCAUAUGCAAAUGUCAUCAAUCGUAUGGCCAAUAUCAACAGACCAUUAAACCUUCAAGUUCUAGACUUGAAGCACAUCUAUGGCCAUAUACCUUUAUGUAACAACUUGAAGUUCAGUAAUAAACUCGAAUUACUGAAAAAUUAAAAAAUCAAGGUUUCAAGCGUCAACAAAUUAAUGACCUCCCUUCCACUUGUGUUAAACUUAGCUAUCAUAAAUGCAAAAUUACACAAAAGGGAAACUAAGUAAGUCAUGCUAGGCAAUCACAUAAAAAGAAAAGCAGUACCUAAUGCUUGUCUCCAUGGCCAUGAGAAUGGUCAUCAUGGCCCUCCCAAGGGUGUCGCCAACCCUACAAGUCGAGAAACAAAGUCCACUAAAGAAUGAAAUAAGGUUACUGUGAAUAAGGCUGAUUAUGAAGACAACUGAGAGGAGAAACUUCUUACCAACACUACGGGACCAUCCUGCUAAGCCCUGUACAGGACCCAAAACCUGAAACACCAGAGAUAUUGAGAAACAUCAGAAAAUCCACCAGCAUUGCAGUAUCAUCUUUUUCAAUGUUUGCCAUGAAUAUUCUUAUUUUCAUGGCUUUUGGACCCACCAGAGCUGACAAAGUUUGAUCCUUGGUGACUAACAAUUGUGCUAACGUGGCAGUUAACAGUUUCCACAUCACCCAACAUAGAAAUUAAAAAAAAGGUGAUUAAAUAAAGAUAAUGUUGUUAUGUUCUAAUUACUAAAGUUAAUGCAUAUUACUUUUCCAUGGUAACCCAGAAAGCAAUUUAUUCCAAAAUAUAAAAUGAAAAAGUUAGAUUUUUCAGUAAUUAUGAAAUUUUGAUUAAUUAGAAAAACAUAUUGGUGGAAAUUAAAGAGUUUAACCCAGUUUCCCUAAAUAUUUUUAAUUGGAAAUACUGACAUCAUUUGUUACUAACCUAUUUAAUUAGUUCAAUGGUUUGAAAGUAUUUAAUCAAAUAUUUUGGAAUUACCAUUAAGAAAACGGAAUCGUGGUUUUGAACACAGUCAUGUUGUGCAUUUUGCCGUCACGCAUGCAUGAUAAAAAAACCGCCUUGUUGUAAUGCAAUGAAUGCCUCCUUUUCCAUUUCAUCACUUAAGUGGACAAUAAUAACAAUAAUUAAAAGUAAGAAACAAACAAUAAUAAUUUUGCAUAUAGGUUCAAACAAAAUGCAUACUUGUUGUUUAAAUUAUAGCUUAUAUGCAUACUUUGAUACAAAUAGGUUUAUAUUUUAUUAAAUAUACAAAUAGGUUCAAACAAAAUGCAUACUUGCUGUCUAAAUUGUAGCUUAUAUGCAUACUUUGAUACAAAUAGGUUUAUAUUUUAUUAAAUAUACAAAUAGGUUCAAACAAAAUGCAUACUUGCUGUUUAAAUUGUAGCUUAUAUGCAUACUUUGAUACAAAUAGGUUCAUAUUUUAUUAAAUAUACAAAUAGGUUAAAAAUUGUAGCUUAGAUGCUUACUUUGAACUCUUUAAAUGCUUACUUUUAUAAAAAAAUUAAUUUAAUCUUUUAAAACUUACAAAUAUAUAAUUUGUUAUUAAAUAUUUUUUUAAUAAAAUUCAUACUAACUUUUGAAAUAAUUUUAAGCUACAAUCAAUUAUCUUUAAAAUUACCUUGUAUAAAAAAUUUUUGAAAUAAUUUUAAAAGGAUAUCAUGGUCUACAAAUGAAAACUAGAUAAAAUAGUUUAACUUUGAAAGUUCGUUACCGUUAUGUAGAGGAAAACGCAAACAAAAUUAAAAUGCAAACAAAAAAUGAAUAGGAAUUGAAAUAUUGAAUGGAACAAAAACAUUUAUUAGAUUUCAAAUUUAUAUAUAAACCAUAGGCAAAUUAUUACAUAUGUACCAAUUGAGAUAUUCAUACUUAUUCUAUAAGCUAAAUUACAUAUGUACCAAAAAAGAAAUUAAUGAAAUCUAUUACAGUGAAUAAAAAUCUAUUAGCAGUAAAAAAUCUAUUACAGUAAAAAACCUAUGAGGACCGAAACCUCAUAUACCAAUACAUCUAGCAGUAAAAAAUCUAUUACAGUGAAUAAAAAUGAACAUGUGCCAAUAAAAGCAUCAGGCAACCAUAAAGAGAAAAGCAGAAAUGAACAAAUUAACCUAAAUUGCUUAUUAGAAGAGAAAUAAAAGUCAAAUUGAUAAACACCUUAGCCAAUUGUUGAGUCUGGAAUCUGGAUGAUAUUUAUGCACCUCUGAAAUACAGGCUGUACAAAUUGAGUGAAUCUGGUACCUAAUGCCUGAAAAAGUAAAAUACAUUAAUCCUAAUGUUUACUAAAAUCAUGUACUGCAGAUUAAAAAACCAUGCGGAUUGGACUGGCUCCAAAACUAAUAAGAACUAGUAGUUUGUACACACUCCCAUUUUCCAAGUUAUUGCACAGAAGAAGAAAAAGGCAAAAAUCAUUAAGCCAAAAACAACACUCUGAAGAGACUUCAGAUCUCAGUGGAUAAAUAAAAGUAAAACCAGCAACAGGUGUACCGUGUACGUAACAGAACAUACAUUUCUUUUUGAGAUUCACACCUCCAAACCACACAACAAAAAGUUUACCCGGAGGAAAGCUUUUUUGCAAUUUUAUUAAACUUAUCACGUUGAAAUAUCUUUCACUUAUAGAGCUGUUCUCUUUUAUUUGCAGUACGCAUUAAAACUCCUAUCAAAGGAUAAAACAGUUUAGGUCCAAUUUAGUUACAGCCAACUCUAUAGCAGCUUGAAGUCUCUUUCCAAAAUACUGCUAGAUGUAUUCCCUAUUCAAUUACUUGCUGACCUCAGAGUAAAAUAAUAAACAUGAAACUAAAUACAAACCAAUACAUGCAAAUUAGCUCAUAGGACCGAAACCUCAUAUACCAUAUCAGACCAUAGCAAAUUACUUUGAGGACCAAAACAACAAGGUUAAUGAGGACAAUAUAGUUCCAUAACUGGAGAGGAAAAAAAACAACCAUUUAGUCCAAACGUUCAAUCAACUCAAACAAUUUGGCCUUGGGCUUUUGUAAAAAAAAAAGAUUUAAUGAGUGUUGAGACGCGUUUCACAUCUGUGGAAUGGAGUGGGACUGAAUGUGGCUGGCCAUCUAAUCUAAAGUUCCUAGCCCCACGCAAUGGGGCGUUGAGUUUGAUUAUCCUUUUCAUCUAAUCUGUUGACUAAACAGCAAUCAAUUUCCUUACAGACCCCUUCUUCAUCAUUUCAAUGUUUCACCCAGUUUUCUUAUGGGCUUUUUUAAUUUUAAAAAAAGUUUCAUACUUCUAAUUAAAGUGUUCAUAGGCUCUUCUUUUAAAAGAGCAAGUCUAACAGACAUCCAUCAAAAUUGGAAGUUGGUAUCGAAAUAUCAGGAUUACCAAUAAGUGGAGACAAAUUCUAUUCCUAGGUUUUUUGCAUCUUCUAAGGCAUUGCAAAAAAAAAAAAAAAAGAAAGAACAAUUGAUGAGACAUCAUUAUGUUCGGACCAUCAAGCAAAGCAACUAUUACGCAUGGCAAUGGCAUCAAUGAACCCUGAAACGUCAUUUUAGAUCUCAAAACACAAAAAGGCGUCUAUUAUAUUUCAGGGUAGCAUUUUUUAUGUAACACAGAAAAAUGAAGAAACAAGAAAAGAAAUGACAAACAAAGAAGAUUCAGCAGGCAAACAAAGAAAAGAGUAACCUGAAGAAGAAUAAUCAGAAGAAAUGAAGUAUCUUAAAGAGAAUGAAAAUGAGGAAAUCGAAGAAGAUGAGCAAACCCGUACCUGUACCAAACUCCCUUGUAUGCUUGCUUCUACUUGGCGAUUCGGGAAGAAACAAACCCUUAAACGCUUGAUUCUGGAAGUGGGUGGAGGACCGGAGGUGGAUCGGUGAAGGUCUUGACGGUGGAGGUGGAUCGGCAGUCAAGGAAGUCAAGGCACGAUAAGUUUAGGGAUUUGGAAUUGGAAGACAGACGGUGGAUUGGGAAAUGAAAACUAAAGCUCAGUUUGUUUGCUAGUAAAAUAUUUUCCGUAAAAUAAUUUUUGAAAAAUAUUUUACUUUUCUGUAAAAUAAUUUACUAGAAAAUAUUUUUUGGUGUUUGGAUAAAUCUGUGUAAAAUAUUUUCUGCUAUUUGUCAGAUUUCCUGAAAAUAUUUUUCGAAAUUUUUUUUUUUACCUAUAUUAAUAUAUAUUAAUAAAUUUUUAUAUUUGAAAUUAUUUUUACAUAUAUUAUAAUAAUUUAUUUAUAAUAAUACUCAAUUUUUAUUAUCCACGUAUAGAAAUCUCUAUGCUUGUAUUGUGGAAACCUUUCAAACCAGUUAACCAGAAAAACAUAUGCAUCUUCAGCUGUAAAUUGAGCAAGGGAACAUAUGAACCAAGUCCCUCAAAAACUUAGGCAAAACUAACUACAUCUAUGUGACUUGUUCUGAAUAUGCAUUAACAAACAGACCAAAGAUCUGAAUCUGCCAAAGUAUCCGAAUUUAGCAAGUCAAAAAAUUGUAAAAAGUAAAGUAGCUAAUCAAUUCGUAUAUCAGAAUUUGUCAUCCCCAAAAACAAAAUGGAUACAAAAAAAGGAUUCAAUAUCCUAUCAACAAAAAUAAAGCGGAUUCAAAUAUUACUCAGAGUCCAAAAUUUAAUACCAACAACUUGAAUAACACAAGCCAUUUUACAACUUCAUUACAACUUCAAAAUUUCGCAGAAAUGUAUAAAUGGCAUGGCUGCAUCAAGAAAAUCAAAAUUUAUCACUAAAAAGAAGAGAUGGGGGAAUCUUUGACUCUUGAGGCUCCUUGCAAAUUGCUUUCUGCAAAAUAAACACACAUUCCAAAAGGAUUUUUAAAUUAUAGUAAUCAAGAUAAAAAGAUCAUAACAUAAACAUCUAGAAUAUACAAACAGAAGAUUUGAAAGCUAAAAUGUUCAACAUAGAACUAAAAAAAAUAAACUAGAGCUAGAUGGUUAGCAUUAAAAGCUCACUAGAGACCAAAAUGAUGAAACCAGUUCCACAAUAUUUGCAGUCUAAAAAAGAAAACUGUUAGGCACCUUAUCGUUAAGCAUCUGGUCAAAAUUAAGUGUAUAAUUAGUCAAUCUGUUGUUCUUCAAGUCAGCAUACCUGCAAUCAGGUUUAAUGAAUAUUAAAAAGAAAACAAAAUAGUAAAAGAACUACUGAGAAGAUCAUAGCAAUACUAAUUAGAUUACAUAAAUAACUUGAUAUAAUAAUAAGUAGCUUACUUUACAGCACCAUAACCAACUGCAUCAGCAGUACUCUCAAUCUCCUCCUCGGUCCAUUCUUCACCCUUACCUGAUUCGCACACAAAGUAACAAUUUCAGAUACAAGAGGUUGAAAAGUUCAAAGGCUACACAAUUUAACAACUGUAAGGACUUGCAGUAACAAAUACAUCACUAAUAGACUGACAAACAUAAGGUAGUUGAAAAGAGUUGAAAAACAUUUGUAACAACAGAGAUAAGGUUCAAUAUCAUACCAUGCUCGAUAAGUGCUGCUUUACUUCGGUUCUUGGCUUCAUCAAGUAGAUCAACUAAACGAACUACUUCAGUGUUACGGGUUCGAAAACGCUUGCCAUCUUCUCCAAGAACAAGUCCAAAACCAACAUGGCUAGCUUUGGGAUAAUUAUCACCUUGAGGAAGCCACCCUGCACGUUUAGCAGCCUGAAAAAUAACCAAAAUAGUUUCAGAAUAUACAGCAAAAGACUAGAUGUCAAAAGUCGGAAUAACUCUUUAAUAUAUGUAUGUUUUAAUAUAUGGUAUCGUUCGACUAAAUAAUUAAUAUAUGGAGCUAGCCUUAUUGAUACUAACCUCUUAGCAAUGAAGCAAAGCAACAUCUUGUAACACGAUUCAAGUAAGCAACAACAAAUUGGGGUUUGAACUAAUCAAAAACAGAGCAGCUUUAAAUUAAAGACAACCACAAUAUGGAAAGCAUCAAAUUUUUUAAAGGAGAUGGAAACAAAAAUUGAAGGCACCACAAUGGCUUUCAAGGAGCAUGGCAGCGGCUUAUGGAGACGCUGAAAAACGUCAAUGGGGUAGACAUGCUGAAAAACGUAACAGAACCUGGGCUAAAACUAGUAAUGAGACGUAUCAAAUUCACCAACGAACUAGCAAGAAAAAUGUAAUGCAGAAUGGAGAUUAGUUCAAGACAUUUUAAAGUAAUCGUAAAGAGAACGUUCCCAAUUUAUCAUCAAAUUUGUAUAAUUAAAACUGGAUGAGAUAAAUUAUGGAUCUAAGAAAGAUCGAAGGGCAGAAUUGAUAUUUUAGGGUUUCAGAUUAAGAGAAAAAUGACUUACAAGUUAGGUGCAGAUCGAUAAGAUAAUGAAUCUGUGAAGACGAGAUUGUUCACAAAGAGAACACCAACAACAACACCGCCACGCCAAGAGAAAUCCACCAAAGAAAUUUAGAGAUAGAGCGAGCGAAAGAGAACCCAAGCAAGUCUGUGAAGAAAGUUAGCCCAAGAUAAGCCAAACACCACAGCCAAACUAGCAGAAAACCCAAACAAGGUCUCAGAGAAAAACAAGCAGAAAAUCCCCAAAUCAAUUUAUAAAAAGAAGAAGAAAUCAAGGGGGGAAAAGGAGCCCGAAACCAAAUCAAGGGAGAACGAAAGGGAGAACGAAAGGGAGAAGGGAGAACGAACGUGAGAACGAAACCAGAUCGGUGUAGAGAGGAGAAGGGAGAACGAGAGUGUAGAGAAGGGAGAACGCUGGAAAAAUCGAAAAAUGUCUUACUGAUUCCAAAUCGGUAAGACGUUUAACAUAAAUUGGGGCCCUUUUUAGCCGUCUUUGUAAAACAUUUUCCUUUUAGGAUUUCAUUUUACACCAACCAAACACCGGAAAAGGUGGAAAAUAUUUUCCGAAAAAUAUUUUCUACCAAACAAACGGACCCUAAAACUAAAAACUUAAAUAUAAAUAUAUAUAUUUUUUAAACAUAAAAAACUUAAACUAUUAUAUUUAAAAAAUAAAAAAAUAUAUAUUUAAUAUAUUUUCAGGCCGGGCCGGGCCCGGGUCCAAAAAAUUUUACUCGAGGCCUGGCUCGUUUUUUAAACGGGCCUAAAUUUUUGCCCAAGCCCAUAUUUCGGGCCUAUAUUUUUACCCGAAUCCUCCCAUAUUUCGGGCGGGCCGUCGGGCCGGGCCGGGCCGCCCGGCCCAUGGACAGGUCUAAAUUAUUGCCCACUUAUGAGAUGGGAAAGAAGGCACGAGGUAGCAGAUUUUUAUUCCCAAGAGAAAACGCUUAAUGCUUAAUUUGGUUUUUAAACUAUUUAAAAUAUCGAAUGACUUAAUUGUAUUAAACAGAUUAUUUAAGUGUUAGAAUUGUAUUAAUUGAAUGAGAUAUUACUAUCUAGAUCAAGAAAUGCAAUCGAGAAAAAAUAAAAAGUAUCGAAUUAAUCAUCGACUUUAUUUUUGUAACCGUUUUAGUCGAGGUAAGUUCGUAUUUCAUUUUAAAACAUUACAUUUGAAUUUAUAAAAUUAAUUUGAUAUCUUUAUAUAAGUAUUUAUAUAUUGAUGAUAAGAUUGUUUUGAUUUGAAAAAAAAGGAAAGAACUGCGAUUGAAAUACAUCAUGGUAUUAUACUCAAAAAGGAAAAGACUAUGAUUGAAAGACACCAUGGCAUUACAUCUGGUAUUUCCGAAUCUAUGAAAAGGUUGUAAGGGAAGUCAUCAGAAAAGGAUGUAUUCGAAAAAGAUAUCUGUAAUACCCCGAAAAUUACUAUAGUAAGAAAGUAAGAUAAUAUCCUUGAUAUAGUAAAAUAAGGAAAUAAAGUGAUAAAAAGGGUAAUAUUGAGUUAUGUCAACAUUGGGAAGUAUAUUAUGACAUAUUAAUUCAAGAAAGGAUUAAAUUGUAAAAGUGAAAAAAGUUUUGUUGCCCAAGAGUAAAUACUCAAAAUUUGAGGGGUUAAAGUGUAAAUACAAAAAAUUUGAAGGGCCAAUAGUGUAAAUAUUUUAAGGGUGGAAUAAUCUAGAAACUAAGGAAAAUGGAUGAAUUAGGACCAAAUUGAAAAGGUGAAGAAUUUUGAGGGAUUAAAUUACAAUUUUAUCAAAUUAACUGAUGACUCAAGGAUAGAAUUUCAAAAGAUUAUAAAGGGCAAAAUGGUCAAAUAGAGAGCGAGAGAAUUCUAGAAUGUAAUGAUGAUGUUUGUGAUAUUUUUAAUUAAUUAAUUAGAUAAAUGUUAUUUAAUUAAUAUUUUAUUAAGAUUUUUAGUAUUAUUUUAUUAUUAAAUGAUUAAUAUAAAAGGGAGGAAAGAGAUGAAAAAUUAUCAUCUUUCCAUACAAACAACGUUAGAAGAGAAGAGAACAAAGAAAGUUUUGCUUUCUUUACAAUUUGGUCCUUUCACCAAAAAUUCACUAUUUUCACCUAAAAAUCAAAAGAAUUUCCAUAGCUUCCAAGAGAGAAAAAUAAUAAGAAGACAACGGGGAGCUAGAAUGUCAAGUUAGAUUCAAGAAAUAGAAGCUGGAGGAGAGAGAAAAUCAAGUUAAAGAUUGAAAUCAAUAGCACAAGAUAAGAACAUCAAUAUUUCAAUAUAUUUUUAAGUUUGUUAUUGUUGAAAAAGCAUGGAAAUGAUGUUAUAGUAGAGUUUUAUUAAAUAAAGUCUUAUGUUCUUGAUAUAUUAGUGAAGGAAAAUAAGUGAAAAUGAUGGGAAAUAUUAUAGAGAAAGGGAAUUCGGGAGUUAUAAACUUAGUAAUCAACAUCUUGCACUAAAACAGUUUUGGACAGCAGCAGUAAGUUAACUUUGAAAAAUCACCAUAAACUGUGGAAAUGUAAUUAGAGGAUUAAAAAAAUAUAGAAUUAAAGCUUAUUAAGUCUAGUUUCUCAUAGAAGAAACGGUGUAAGUAAUAGAAUUGUAAAUCAUGAGAUAUAAUAAAUUUUGUGAGACAAGGUCAGAAUGAAUUUGGGUUCCCCUAUUUUUAGUGAAUAAAAAUAUGGAAAAUCAUCAAAAAUUGAAUAAAAAUAAUUAGAGACUUAAAUUUAUAUUUUUAAAAUCCUGAAUGAGUCUAUUUUCAAUAGAAACAAACAGAAACAUCAUCCAAAUUCUUUACAAAGAGAUAAUUAUUUUUUAGUGAAGAGGGGUCGGAACUGUCAAAUAGUGAAAUAGGGGAAACUUUAAAAAAUAAACUGUACUUAUUGGCUAAACCAAAAAUUUUGAAAAUCUUAUGGUAAGAAGAUAUGUAAGUCUAGUUUCAUAUGAAUUUAGCGGAUAUUAAUUUUUAGUUCUGUAUCUCAAAAUAUAAAUAAUUUAGUGACUAUAACUCAAGUGGACAACUUUGAAUUAAUGUAUAAAUAAAUGGUGGAAUUAUAGAUAAUGUUACAUAUAAGCAUAUUAUACAUUAAGGAUGUGGAAUGGAGAGGAGGAGGGGGAGAAUAAAUUAUUAUUCAACUAGCAUGAAUUCUCAUUAAAAAUGACCAAUUUGCAUGUUUUAGGUUCAAUGACUAAAUUGAAUAAAAGUAAUAUUUUAAGGGUAAAUUGGUAAAAAUGUCAAAAAGUGACCAAAUUGCAUGAAAUGAAUUUUUUUAUUAUUUAAAUUAAUAAAUUGAAUGAAAUAUUAAUUUAUAUUAAGAUUGGGUGGAAAUUCGAGGAAAAUAGAAAAUUACCAAAAUGUCCUUAAAUUUUGGUAUUUCUGCAAUUUAGCUUGGUAAGUUCGCGUAACUUGAAUUGUAUUAUUAGAUGAUUGAAAUAUAUAUAUUGGAUUGAGAAAUUGAUUUGAAUUGUGAACAUGAGAAAUUGUGAAUUGAAUGAAAUGGAAAUGAAGCUUUGAAUUACAUGAGUAAAUAUCGGGUCUCGUAGGCUCUAUUUGUUAUGAAUAUAAUAUUUCGAGGAUAUGUUGUAAAGAAUUAUAAAAGCACGUUAAUAAUUUAAAAGUUUUAAUUUGGAUGAAAUUUUGUAACUCGGUUUAAUAAGUAUGCAAAUGUAUGUCUUCUAGUAAUGUCUCGUACCCUAUUCCGGCGUCGAAUACGGGUUAGGUGUGUUACAAUAAGAGUUUUUAUGCUAUGUACCAAUGCGAUGUGGUUUAAGUUUACAUGCCUAUAUGCCUUGAUGUUGGCUUAUAAUCAUAUAUAUGUAAGUAUGUGUUUUGGUUACUUGUGAAUGCUUUGAGAGUUAAAUGGUUAUUGGUUCAUUGAAGUGUGAAUGAAAUGGUUGAACAGCAUGCUUUUAAACAGUUAUUUGGUAUAUAUGAUUUAUGCUUAAUGAAUGAACUUGAAAUGUUAAUUUGAGUCAAGUUGAUGUGUUAAAUUGUGGUGUCAACUGAACGUAUAUUGGCUAGGCACCUAAGUUGGUUGAUUUUGGUAUGUUUUUGGUAUGUUGUAAACUGUUUUGGUCAUGUGAAAAUGAUUGGAAAUGGUAUGGUUUGUUGUGCAAGAAAAGGUUAAUGUUCUGGCUUGUUUUAGGGGAAAAUUAUGUUGCACACGGCCUGAGACACGGGAUGUUACACGACCGUGUGCACACAUGGUCGUAUGUUUCAAGUCAGUAUGCUACACGGUCUGAGACACGGUCGUGUGACUCAACAUCAAAUGCACACACGAUCUGACAUACGGCCUACGACACGACCAUGUGACCCUAUUUCAAAUACCCACACGGGUGGACGCACAGUCUGGGCUAUGUCACAUAGCCUGGCCACACAGCCAUGUGACCCCUAUUUUCCUGUUUUCAAGAUUUUUCCAAAAUUUUCUGUUUUGUUUCAAAGUGAUCUCUGAUUAUUCUAAAAUUAUUUUUAGGACCCCGAAAGCUUGGUUUAGGGCCCCCGUAAGAGUAUUUUUACUAUGAUUAUGUUAAGUUGCAUAACCGUUUCUAUUUGAAAGAUAAAUGUGCUGAUUUGUACGGUAAUGCUUCAUGACUCUAAUCCGACGAUAGAGACGGGUUAACGGUGUUACAAAAAUAAUAUAUAUACUUUUGAGUAGAUCGGAUAUGAAUGCUCAAUCAACUCGAGAGUGAAUGUAUGAAUCAUCCAUAACUCUUUUAAAUCAGUGGGAUUUUAAAUUGAAUUUUAAAAUUUAUGUUUCAAAAAUUAGGGUUUAAAUUUUGAUUUAAAUAAAAUUAGUUCAAUUGUUGAUUCAACCACUUCGUAUCGAUUUAUAGAUCAAUUGAUUCAAUUCUCUCUCUAGACCGAUACCUCAACUAGUUCUUCACUCAAUCUAUAAGUUCCAAUUAUGAAAUCAAUGUGUAAAUUUGGAUUCAUCAAAAUGUUUGAGGCUCAAUUUAAGCCUAUUUAGGUAAAUAUUUGAAUAUAUAACUAUAAUUUGAAUGAAUCAGUACUAUUAGAAUUAGACUAAUAAUCGAAAUAUAUUCAGAUCUAAAUUAGAAUAAUUCAAUGAAAGAACUCGCACAUAAUAUUUGUAUUCCUCUUUAUAUUUACACAUAUUGAAACUCGAAUUUAACUUCUCAUAAUCUCAAUUGUAUUAUUUCGACCAAGACCCACAAUUAUUAUUAGUUAUUAUUAGACAUCAUAUAUAAUAUAAAUUCAUAAUAUAUGAAAAGAAUUCCUGGUGGCUGCCAAAGAUUCCACAAGUAUCUAUAAUACAUACAUCCAAAGGUUUGUAGGGAUGAAAAAGCUUCCAAAACAGAAAAAGAAACAAUAGCGUGAUUCCUUUUGCUUGGUAUAUAUAUGCCUAGUGUUUUAUUAUUUCUUAAUCAUUCUUUUAUCAACUACAUGCAGUGAAGUUAAGAACUUUACGUGCCCCCUUAAGGGCUAACAUUCCCCUUCGAUUGCUACAGUUCAAACUUCGAGCUCAAGGACCUGAGGAGGAGGAGGAGGAGCUUGUGCUGGGUUUUCAUGGACGUUAUUCUGCGUAGUGUAGAUAACGAUGGUGGGAAUGGAUUGAAUUGUGAGAGAAAAGUAUCGAAUAAAGCGUAUAAAUUGAUGGAACAGUCGGUUGUGCCAAGGAACUGUGAGAAUGAUGAAUAAAUAGGUAACCCAGAAGCUUGAAGGGGGAAAAAAGAUGGAGGCAAGGAGUGAAAUGAACAAGGCAAUGGAGAUACCUCGAGCUUUCAAGCUAAUAGGAUGGGGAGUGAGAGGGAAUUCAACAGAGAAGAAGAGGAAGAUUACCAUUAAUAUAAUGGCAACAAACAAGGCUAAGAUCCCAAGCAUCAUGGUUGAAACCUGUUGGCCAAUGAGGGCACCAGCAAGUAGAUCAAAUGAAGGUUCAUUUUGGGAUGCUACAAAUAGAAAAAACCAUAUCAGAUUCAGCAGUGGAGGGAAUGUAUACCUCAAAUCAAUCAGGACCUGCAUUUUUUUUAAUGUACUUUUGCUUUUGAGGAAGUAGAGGGGGAAUGGGACGCACUUACAUAAAUGGUAGUAAAAGAAAAAAAGUUAAGAUUGAAAAUGGCAUUGCCGAAAAGGAGGAAAAAAUGGUAAAGACAAAAAGAAGAAAAAGACGAGGAAAUUCUGAGUCAGAAAAGCCAUGGCAAGGUUGAAAAAGUAACGAAAUAAAUUAAGAGAUUCAAAAUCCAAAACAGUGACAUCAGUCAAUAAAUCAACGGUAAUGGAAGCCCUUUGCCCCAAAACCCUUGGCUUUGUAUGUUGAGUUGGUGGUACAUGCAGGCAUACAGGAGAUCAUUAUCAUUGGGGAUGACCUUUCAUACGUGUGACAAGUGACAAAAACUUCGCAAGUCAAAGUCUAUCACUCGCAAAUUAUUAUUUAUAUAAUUAAAGCAUUUAGGGUUCCAACUUGACUUAUCUCAAAUUACAAAUAUUAUUAUUACAUAUUUACUAUUUAUUUGAAUAAAAUAAUAAUGAUUUCACAAACAGCUUUUGUUUUGAAAGGUAAAUUAAUUCGUUUGAUGUACAUAACAUACAAUUCAGAGAAAAAAAUAAUAAACAUUUAUCGUAAAUGGUGAAGACAAACUCCAACAACAUAACAAAUAUUUUAGCUUCAGCAUCAAUAGAACAUUAUGACACGUUGACAAUUGGCUUUGCCAUAACUCAAGCACGACAUAUCUGAAGUGAUUGCAAACACUUAAUACGAUAAGGAAAUCAGGCCCGGAUGGUCCAAAACGUUGAGCAAAAAUUGACAAAAGAAUCAAGCAUUCAUGAAACUAGAGAGGACGACAAUAAAAUUAUCCCUAAAAUCACUUGUAAAACUACUAUUACGUGCAUAAGCAAGACUAAAAAACGUGCUACAAGAGCAGAUAAAAACUUGAAGACUUAUUAAACAAUGGAAAAACAAACAAAAAACAUAUAAAAUUUAAGACAACACGGGUCUAAAUCGACACAUGAAAUAAUUUAUUUUUCUAAAAUACUCUCAAAACAAAAACAGAUUAAGAAGUUGACGAAAAGUCACUGACUUUUCAAGAAAAACUACUGGUGGCCGGUGGAGUUUUAGCGAAAGACAGGUACCGUCACUUGUCCAUCACAACUUGUGAAGACAACAAAGAUACCCACAAAAUAGAUCUGCAAAUUGAAAAGAUAGAAGACAUGUGUAGUGAAUAAAAAGAAUAAAGAAAGAAAAGUUGAUGGGAGAAGAAAAAGGCAGGUGAUAACCAGCCCGAAGGCUAGCACCACUGUUGAGCAAAACAAAAUAUAGAAAAUAAAUAUCUUGGAGAAAAAAAGAAAAAAGUUUUUAGAAUUUUUCUUACGACACAAACAACUUUUUAAUUAACCACAAAUUUUUUUAAAGUAAUUGAUUAAAUAAGGUGUUACAUAUACAUGGCCUACCAUUAGAGACACCUUCGCUAUCUAUCAGCUCCACCAUUUGGUCAUGAAUGCAAGUGAUCUUCUCUUUCACCAUGAGGACUAUUCCACCGGGCUAUAAGGAAUAUGCAAGCCAAUCACUUCUAACAAUUUGACUAUCUUGACAAAAUAUUUAUAAUUUGUCACUAACAUACCGUGCAACUUGAUCACCUCAUGUCACAUUAUCGACCCAACAAAAGAGCCUAUAAGCAAUGGGUCAACCUAUUAGAAAACAACACAUGUUCUACAACGUAAACUCAUAUAUCUCUCCUUCAACCAAAAUCUUCUCUCUUCCUCCUCCAUCCUAUGUCAAAAUCAAACAUUUCUUUUCAAUUCCUCCAUCUUCACCUUGUGUCUUUUUGUUCUCAUUGGGUGAACCGCCUCAACAUAUGAAAGAAUCUUUAAAAUUGAUUAAUAAAUUAUUCAUAUUACAUAGAUAAUUAGACCUGAUUAUGGGUUGAGUUAUCUACCCAAUCCUGAAGUUCGUCGGAAAAGUAAAAAAAUUUGGACAAAAAUAUAGACCCAAAAAAUAAGCUUUGACAAAAAUAAGGCCCAUUUUUUAAAUGGGUCGAGCCUUGGGUAAAAAAAAAUUUGGUUUGGACUCGGUCCGAAUCAGCCUAAAUUUUUUUUUAUACUGUUGCUUGCUGCUAUUUUGAUAUUAUAUUGAUAUUGUUUUAUUGUUAUUGUUUGAAUUUUUGUGUAACUCUUGUUUUGUUUUUAUUUUUACUACUAUUUUAGAUGCAUUUGUUUGUUAAGUUACAACUAUCUUAAUGUUAUUUAAGUAUAAAUAUCUUUUUUAAUUUAUUUUCAAUUUGUUGAGAAAUAUUUGUUUUUAUGUUUUUAAUGUAUUUGAUGUAUUAUAUUUUUAAAAUUUGUUUUUAUAUAAAAAAAUUAAUACAGGUGGGUCGGGUCAGACUAUGGUUUAACAUUCUUAAUCUAGGUUGGACUUGGACAAAAUUUUAAGCCUAUUAUUCAAGAUGAGUCAAACCCAGACCUAAAAUUUUGCACCGACUGGUUCAACCCAUGAUAAGUGUAUAGAUUAUUUAUUAGAAAUAUAAGAAUGUGAGGAUAUUCAUACCUUUGUUUAAUAUAAGUCCUACCGAAAGCAUUUAUUUAGUACAUUAAUGAGAUAUCACACUAUAUAAUUUAUAAUUGUUAAUUUAUUAAAUAAUAAAUCUUUAAUAAACCUAGAUUUGUGGCAUUUAAAAAUGAAAAGGUUAUGAUGUUAAGUCCUAUGCUGAUAUCAAGGUUCACUUCAUGAUGUAUGUAUGUAUACCUAAAUUUAUUAUCAUAUAGGAAAAGCUUAGAUGAGGGAUUAGAGAUACGAGGGGAUGAGAAAUCUUGGCCGGCCAACCAUUUACUAAAAAAAAAAACUAUUUCUUUUUUUAUGCGAAAUAAAGUAACAUAUUUAUUUUCAUUAGUAAAUUUCCUAUAUGACUAUAGAAAUGUCUCCACUUUCCAUUGAAAUGAGAGGUGACCAAAGAGACGCGACCAUUAUGAGCUCAUGGAAAGAAAAUGACAAAACUAGUAAUAUAUAUUAUGGUAAAGUCGAGAGAAAUUAGAAGAUUUUUAAAUUUUGGGUUUAAAUUUCUUGGUGCGCAUGUAUUUUUUUUUAAAAUUGUAUGUAAAAAAUAAAAAUAUCCUUAAAAUUAUAUUUAUUAUUUUAUAAAAAUAUUGAAUUUUUGGUAACUUCGAAUGGAUUGUUAAAAAUUAAAUUUUACUGGAUCACUUCCUUACAUAUAUAUAUAUAUAUAUGAGAGAAUUUAAUCAAAUGUUGAUUAAUGUAUAUCUUUAAUUUGUGGUGAUUUGAAGAUAUACCUUAUAUUAUCGAAUAUGUGAUGGUUAGAAUAUUUUGAUUUUUUUAAAAUUAGGCAUUUCUGAUUCUUUUUAUAAAAAAGUUAAAGAUUUUUUGAUUUUUUAUGUUUUUAUUUUGAAGAGCUUUUUUUGACGUAUAAAACUAAAUAGUAUCGCAAUAACAAUCAAAGAUUGAGGAUUAGUUUGCUUCAACUAAAAAGUAAUCGUCCAAUUAAAUUUAUUAUUAUACCUUAUAAAUCAAACACUAAAAUAAAUAUUUUAUUUUAUUUUAAUAAUUGAAAAUAAUCCAUCAAUAGAAUCUGGGAUGGGAUAUGUUAGAAUAUCAUACAAAUGGGAUGAGAUUUCUUACGUCUUAAGUUUCCAAUUUAAUUACGUCCAAGUUUUUAAGAAUAAUACAAAGAUAUGGCCCAUCAACUAAACAAUAAAUAAAUUAUUAUAAACAGAUUAAUAGUAACUGCAACUUUAAAAUAAUUCAGAGAUGCAUCAACUUGAUUAAUCUGUGUUAAAAUUUGUAUCUUAGCCCCACUAUCAUCAGAUCAACAUGAUGAUGAAUAUCGAUUGACCAAUCAACAAUUGUCAAAAUCCCCAAGAAACCCACCGUAUUAGUGAUGCUAAAAGACCUAGUUUGAGAUUACCUAUCUUCCCCCUCAUUAUAUUGGAUCGAUCAUGAUAAAGCCUUUCGAGAAGUAGAUUUGGCAGCACCAUUAUUCAUAAAUCUCAUAUAUAUAUAUAUAUAACACUACAACAUGACUAGAAACAAAAACUAAAAAUAAACUUUAUCUUCUUUUAAAGAAAACAAAAAUCAUGAAAAAUAUGGACAAAAUAAAAUUACAAUAAUUAGCCUUAGCUUUAUAGAACUGCUGUAAGGGCAUAAAGAUGCCGAGAAGAAAAGUUUAUUCACAUUCAACUAAUAGUUUUUAUUAUUUUUGUUUAGCAUACAUGAUAUGAAUAGUUUAUAAUAGAAGCAGUUGAAGAUGCAGAGGGAAGAGUCUUGGAAGAAGAUCCAUGGAUUUUAUCAAAAAGCCUUUUAGGUGAUCUAUCGUUCUACAAAUCUUCAGCAUAUCGUAUGGUAAUAUAAUUAUCUUGGUCAGUAUAGAUCAUGAGUAUUAGUAUAGACGAUGCAUGCUUAAUGGUUAGUCUCUUUCAAACCUUGAGGUGUCAUGAAAACAAGAGACAGAGAUUUCUAAGAGUUGUACAUAUACACAAUAUUGCAGAUAUAUAAUUUAUGGAUUUUUGCCAUAUAUGUAAGAAUACCAGUUCUUCAAAUUUGAUGGUACUGGUGUUUACUCAAGUAAAAUUAAUACUUUGUCCACUCUUCUUCUUCUUACUGUAAUGCUUUUAGUUUUCAUAAUAGAUUUAAAUUUUCAUGUCAUACAAUAUAAUACGUACUAACUUUGUCAUAAGGAUGUUGGCUUUUAUACGUUAACUACUCAUUUUAGACAUAUGUUAGCUUUUAUUUUAAAUAAUUUAUCAAAUGUGGUAUACUAAAAGCACAAAAAUCUAAUUUUAGUGAAGUCAACUAUAUAAAAUUAUUAAUUUAGAAACCAACAUCGACAAUAAAAAUUUUAGUCACACUGUUGUAGAAAUUAAUAGUGAAGGAGUGGAGUGCUAAACACCUGUAUGAGGACACAUAUUCAAGGUAGUUAUUAGUGGGGUAUUAUUUUUCUAGAUUGGUAUUAAUUUGUUUUGAUGUAUUUAAGAUUUAUCACCAUUUUUAAAAAAAUAUCAAAUAGUUAGAUUAAACAAUAUCUUUUAGGGUAGAUUACAUCAUUAAUCACUUAACUAUUAGUGUGAUUCUGUUUAGUCUCUAAACUAUAAAAAUAUUCAAAUUUAUUACUAAUGCUUUCGACCAGUUCUGUUCUGAUCACCUUCUAUUAAACCAUUAAUGAAAUUUGUAAUAUUCAUAUACACAAACCGAUCACCGGAUUCAUGUAUUGAAAUGUUACUUUCGAUGCCAAAACAACUAUAUUAAAAUCUAGAUUAUUUAACAAUUUUAUUAUUAACGUACCUUUUAUGACACUUUUCAAAUGCAUAACUAAACCUAAAACGAACUCUAAAUAAUUCUAUUAUUAGUUAAUAAACAAAUAGAGACCUAAUUGCAAAUUUCGCAAAAUUUCCAGCCCGACGUAUAGCAGAUAGGAGGUCAUUCACUUUAAAGUUCCAUAGGAGCAGGCAUUUCAUAAAAACGUAGUGAUCAGAUUUGGUGCGUGAGCCUAAUUAUGCGUUGGGUAUGUUCCGCUUCUUAUUCUACAGUUCUUAGGAAUAGUUUAACAAUACUUUUAAAAAGUGUUAUGGAAAAAUGCUUUUAAGAAAUAUUUUUAAAAAAUUUGGUUUAAGAUUUGAGUGUUUAGCAUUACUGUCAAAAAAUACUUUUGAGAAAUAAAAUAUUCAUUUUAGACAUGUUAUUAUCAAGUAAGAAAUAUGCAUCUAAAUAAUAUUCAAAUUAGUUAAUAUUAUUAUAUUUAGUAAGAAUAUAAAAAAAAUUAUUAUAACUUGUUAAUAUUUUAAUAUAUGAAAUAUAAAUUUUAAAUAUUUUUAAGUAAUAAAUAUUAAUUAUUUAUAAAAUUUAAUUAGAAUAUAUAAACUAUAUUUUAAAUAUUUAAGUAAUAAAUAUUAAUUAUUUUAGAUAUUAACACAUUUGUAUUAUUUUAAAAAAUAUUUUUAUUUUUAAUUAAUAAUUUAAACACAUUUGUAAUUAAGCACAAAGAAAAAAAAGAAUGAAAAGUAGUAUAUUAUUAGAGAGGUGAAAAAAUAAUUAAACACCAAAAGUGCUUUUGAAAAAAAAUGUUAAAAAUUUUAACUUCUUUUCAGCCAAAAACAGCUUAUUUAACACAACUUUUCUUCUAAGAGUGUUUUUGAGUCAAAAAUGUUUUUUUUAAGCCUUAUUAAACAAGCCCUUAAUGGCAAAAGUUGUGGUUCUAUUGGUCUUAGACAAUGAGAUCUUUGAACUCAUAUUUUUUUCUUUUAUUUCUGAAUAUGACUGGAAGAGAGGGCCUUUUACUGGGCAAUGGAGUGAGCAGACGUGGUCCUAGUAUUACUCACUUGUUUUACAUGGUGAGCCUCCGGUUGCUAGGGUCAUAUUUACCUCGAAAAAUAUUGGUGGGUCGUAAUAAGCAAGCCGUUUUUCAAAGAUUAAGGGAUCAGUGAAAUAACUAGACUUCUCGUUUACUCUUGCAAGGGGAAAUGAAGUGUUUAUCAAAGCUAUCCUUACCUAUAUCAUGCCAUGUUUUUUUCUUACUAAGUUCUUUAUGCAAUGCGGUUGAUUCCAUUAUUAAUAUUCGGUCAUGAUCCCAUUUCAACAGUUUUUUUUUUAAAGGGUAAUCAAACAGGCAAAUUUCUAUUAUUCUGUAGAUCAAAUAUCAAGAAAACUUCAAUUCGGCCAAAAUCUACGUUCAGCCAAACCAGAGGUGCACAAUAAACCAAAUGCAUUCGGCCAUAAAAAUCCACACUUUAACAGGAAAACCAUAAUGCAUAAAUGAAGUUUCAGUUUUCAUUUCAUUAUGCUUACAAUCCCAUUUCACCAUCACUUUAUUGACACCGAAGAAAAUAAACAGAAGACAUUCCAGAACAGCAUCUGUGCCACGCACCCAUAAGCAGAUAAGCUUCUUCAGGCUGCAGCUAAACACAAUGUCACUGAUCAUUGAAAUGGAGAACAAGUUUUGUUCAUGUCAUACUUCAUUCUUGCUAAACACACUUAUAUGCACAUCUUUUAUUGGCAACAAACACGUAAAAAGGGGCAAAAGAAAUUACCAUUACAAGGUUCUAAGAUCUCAUAAUAAUGCCGAUGCGAGUCCGAGAUUUAUCUCCUCUAUUCAUGUUUUAAUGAUGAUUCUUGUGCAUGCAUAUGCAAAUGUCAACAAUCGUAUGGCCAAUAUCAACAGACCAUUAAACCUUCAAGUUCUAGACUUGAAGCACAUCUAUGGUCAUAUACCUUUAUGUAACAACUUGAAGUUCAGUAAUAAACUCGAAUUACUGAAAAUUUAAAAAAUCAAGGUUUCAAGCAUCAACAAAUUAAUGACCUCCCUUCCACUUGUGUUAAACUUAGCUAUCAUAAAUGCAAAAUUACACAAAAGGGAAACUAGGUAAGUCAUGCUAGGCAAUCACAUAAAAAGAA
RNAcentral lists this long non-coding RNA (19613 nucleotides) under Gossypium barbadense (sea-island cotton). RNAcentral's name for it is "long non-coding RNA (GBAR_LNC016131)". The record is from RNAcentral. Lineage: Eukaryota; Viridiplantae; Streptophyta; Magnoliopsida; Malvales; Malvaceae.